This 480-nucleotide ribosomal RNA is filed under the name uncultured bacterium. RNAcentral's name for it is "partial 16S ribosomal RNA". It matches the Rfam family "Bacterial small subunit ribosomal RNA", at positions 28 to 507 of the family's 1533-position model. The record is from RNAcentral.
GAUGAACGCUAGCGGCAGGCCUAACACAUGCAAGUCGAGGGGGAGGUUACUUUCGGGUAACUGAGACCGGCGUACGGGUGCGUAACGCGUAUACAAUCUGCCUUUCACUGGGGGAUAGCCCGAAGAAAUUUGGAUUAAUACCCCAUAGUAUAGUAAUACGGCAUCGUGAUGCUAUUAAAGCUUAGGUGGUGAAAGAUGAGUAUGCGUUCUAUUAGCUAGUUGGAGAGGUAACGGCUCCCCAAGGCGAUGAUAGAUAGGGGUUCUGAGAGGGAUGUCCCCCACACUGGUACUGAGAUACGGACCAGAGUCCUACGGGAGGCAGCAGUGAGGAAUAUUGGACAAUGGUCGGAAGACUGAUCCAGCCAUGCCGCGUGCAGGAUGAAGGUCUUAUGGAUUGUAAACUGCUUUUGUAAGGGAAGAAUAAGGGCUACGCGUAGUUUGAUGACGGUACCUUACGAAUAAGCAUCGGCUAACUCCGUG